This 82-nucleotide microRNA precursor is filed under the name Nomascus leucogenys (northern white-cheeked gibbon). RNAcentral's name for it is "miRNA (ENSNLEG00000031598.1)". Lineage: Eukaryota; Metazoa; Chordata; Mammalia; Primates; Hylobatidae. The record is from RNAcentral.
UAGGUUGGUGCAAAAGUAAUUGCAGUUUUUGCCAUUAAAAGUAAUGGACAAACUGCAAUUACUUUUGGACCAACCUAAUAUU